UAUUGGGCGUAAGCGCGCGCAGGUGGUUUCUUAAGUCUGAUGUGAAAGCCCACGCCCUUACCGUGGAGGGUCAUUGGAAACUGGGAGACUUGAGUGCCCUAGAAGAAAGUGGAAUUCCAUGUGUAGCGGUGAAAUGCGUAGAGAUAUGGAGGAACACCAGUGGCGAAGGCGACCCUCUGGUCUGUAACUGACACUGAGGCGCGAAAGCGUGGGGAGCAAACAGGAUUAGAUACCCUGGUAGUCCACGCCGUAAACGAUGAGUGCUAAGUGUUAGAGGGUUUCCGCCCUUUAGUGCUGAACUUAACGCAUUA
Molecule: ribosomal RNA, 311 nt
Filed under: Bacillus thuringiensis serovar azorensis
Lineage: Bacteria; Bacillati; Bacillota; Bacilli; Caryophanales; Bacillaceae
Description: bacterial SSU rRNA
Rfam family: Bacterial small subunit ribosomal RNA
Source: RNAcentral